GCGGGGCGCGGCCCUGUCACGGCCCGGUCCCGUCGCGGUCCCGUCACGGCCCGCGCUGUCGCCCCGCCGGUGAGGCAGCGGCAGGCGGCCGUGAGGCGGAUCCUGGCCGCGAGCGGGCUGCGGUACGGAGCUGCUCGACGUGGCGGCGGACGAGGGCCCGCUGCGGGAGGUGCAGGAGAAGGCGGCGACCCGCGGGCGCUGCCGCCGCAGAUGUUGAACGGCGCCGCGGGGAUUUCGAGGUGUUGCACCAAGCGGCUGGGAACGCAGUCUCAAAGUUCCUGAAGAUGUCCUCGACAGACGCACCGGCGAGGGAAGGAAUUACUGCAUAAAGGACUGGGCCCGGCACUUGAUAUUUCACGAAUGCAGCUUACUAAAUAAAUGUGUUUUGUAUACUUG
Long non-coding RNA from Cygnus olor (mute swan), 396 nucleotides. RefSeq lists it as uncharacterized. The transcript is spliced from 2 exons. NCBI's taxonomy places the organism in Eukaryota, Metazoa, Chordata, Aves, Anseriformes, Anatidae. The record is from RefSeq and is a predicted model, not a curated record.